AUUGAACGCUGGCGGAAUGCUUUACACAUGCAAGUCGAACGGUAGAGGGGGCAACCCCUUGAGAGUGGCGAACGGGUGAGUAAUAUAUCGGAACGUGCCCAGUCGUGGGGGAUAACGUAGCGAAAGUUACGCUAAUACCGCAUACGAUCUACGGAUGAGAGCGGGGGACUCGCAAGAGCCUCGCGCGAUUGGAGCGGCCGAUAUCAGAUUAGGUAGUUGGUGGGGUAAAGGCUCACCAAGCCAACGAUCUGUAGCUGGUCUGAGAGGACGACCAGCCACACUGGAACUGAGACACGGUCCAGACUCCUACGGGAGGCAGCAGUGGGGGAAUUUUUGGGACAAUGGACGCAAGUCUGAUCCAGCCAUUCCGCGUGCAGGAUGAAGGCCCUCGGGUUGUAAACUGUUUUUGUACGGAACGAAAGGUUCUAGUUAAUACUAGGAGCUCAUGACGGUACCGUAAGAAUAAGCACCGG
RNAcentral lists this ribosomal RNA (473 nucleotides) under uncultured bacterium. Its description in RNAcentral is "bacterial SSU rRNA". It matches the Rfam family "Bacterial small subunit ribosomal RNA", at positions 30 to 496 of the family's 1533-position model. The record is from RNAcentral.